RNAcentral lists this ribosomal RNA (433 nucleotides) under uncultured bacterium. RNAcentral describes it as "partial 16S ribosomal RNA". It matches the Rfam family "Bacterial small subunit ribosomal RNA", at positions 29 to 507 of the family's 1533-position model. The record is from RNAcentral.
AACGAACGCUGGCGGCAUGCCUAACACAUGCAAGUCGAACGAGACCUUCGGGUCUAGUGGCGCACGGGUGCGUAACGCGUGGGAACCUGCCUUUAGGUUCGGAAUAACUCAGAGAAAUUUGAGCUAAUACCGGAUGAUGUCUUCGGACCAAAGAUUUAUCGCCUUUAGAUGGGCCCGCGUUGGAUUAGCUAGUUGGUGGGGUAAAGGCCUACCAAGGCGACGAUCCAUAGCUGGUCUGAGAGGAUGAUCAGCCACACUGGGACUGAGACACGGCCCAGACUCGUACGGAAGGCAGCAGUGGGGAAUAUUGGACGAUGGGCGAAAGCCUGAUCCAGCAAUGCCGCGUGAGUGAUGAAGGCCUUAGGGUUGUAAAGCUCUUUUACCCGAGAUGAUAAUGACAGUAUCGGGAGAAUAAGCUCCGGCUAACUCCGUG